ACGCUGGCGGCAGGCCUAACACAUGCAAGUCGAGCGGUAGAGAGAAGCUUGCUUCUCUUGAGAGCGGCGGACGGGUGAGUAAUGCCUAGGAAUCUGCCUGGUAGUGGGGGAUAACGUUCGGAAACGGACGCUAAUACCGCAUACGUCCUACGGGAGAAAGCAGGGGACCUUCGGGCCUUGCGCUAUCAGAUGAGCCUAGGUCGGAUUAGCUAGUUGGUGAGGUAAUGGCUCACCAAGGCGACGAUCCGUAACUGGUCUGAGAGGAUGAUCAGUCACACUGGAACUGAGACACGGUCCAGACUCCUACGGGAGGCAGCAGUGGGGAAUAUUGGACAAUGGGCGAAAGCCUGAUCCAGCCAUGCCGCGUGUGUGAAGAAGGUCUUCGGAUUGUAAAGCACUUUAAGUUGGGAGGAAGGGUUGUAGAUUAAUACUCUGCAAUUUUGACGUUACCGACAGAAUAAGCACCGGCUAACUCUGUGCCAGCAGCCGCGGUAAUACAGAGGGUGCAAGCGUUAAUCGGAAUUACUGGGCGUAAAGCGCGCGUAGGUGGUUUGUUAAGUUGGAUGUGAAAUCCCCGGGCUCAACCUGGGAACUGCAUUCAAAACUGACUGACUAGAGUAUGGUAGAGGGUGGUGGAAUUUCCUGUGUAGCGGUGAAAUGCGUAGAUAUAGGAAGGAACACCAGUGGCGAAGGCGACCACCUGGACUAGUUACUGACACUGAGGUGCGAAAGCGUGGGGAGCAAAC
This 746-nucleotide ribosomal RNA is filed under the name uncultured bacterium. RNAcentral describes it as "bacterial SSU rRNA". It matches the Rfam family "Bacterial small subunit ribosomal RNA", at positions 33 to 773 of the family's 1533-position model. The record is from RNAcentral.